CCUACGGGCAGCUGCAGUGGGGGAUAUUGCACAAUGGGGGAAACCCUGAUGCAGCGACGCCGCGUGAGUGAAGAAGUAUUUCGGUAUGUAAAGCUCUAUCAGCAGGGAAGAAAAUGACAGUACCUGACCAAGAAGCACCGGCUAACGACGUGCCAGCAGCCGCGGUAAUACGGAGGGGGCCAGCGUUAUCCGGAUUUACUGGGUGUGAAGGGAGCGUAGGCGGUUAGGUAAGUCUGGAGUGAAAGCCCGGGGCCCAACCCCGGGACUGCUUUGGAAACUGUGGAACUGGAGUAAAGGAGGGGCAGGCGGAAUGUCUGGUGUAGCGGUGAAAUGCGUAGAGAUCAGGAGGAACACCGACGGCGAAGGCGGCCUGCUGGACUGAAACUGACGUUGAGGCUCGAAAGCGUGGGGAGCAAACAGGAUUAGAUACCCCUGUAGUC
Molecule: ribosomal RNA, 440 nt
Filed under: uncultured bacterium
Lineage: Bacteria
Description: partial 16S ribosomal RNA
Rfam family: Bacterial small subunit ribosomal RNA
Source: RNAcentral